AAUUCUCAACCUUCCUAACUUUUAUUAGCUUGGUUUGGCUUGGAUGUGGGGGUUGCGGGCUUCUAUUAAUGAAGCCGGCUCUCCUUAAAUGCAUUAGCGGAACUUUUGUGGACCGUCUAUUGGUGUGAUAAUUAUCUAUGCCGUGGAUGUAAAGCAGCUUUAUGAAGUUCAGCUUCUAAUCGUCCAUUGACUUGGACAAUUUUUUCA
RNAcentral lists this unclassified non-coding RNA (207 nucleotides) under uncultured Laccaria. Its description in RNAcentral is "sequence contains ITS2". The record is from RNAcentral. Lineage: Eukaryota; Fungi; Basidiomycota; Agaricomycetes; Agaricales; Tricholomataceae.